This 324-nucleotide ribosomal RNA is filed under the name uncultured prokaryote. Its description in RNAcentral is "bacterial SSU rRNA". It matches the Rfam family "Bacterial small subunit ribosomal RNA", at positions 26 to 352 of the family's 1533-position model. The record is from RNAcentral.
AGGACGAACGCUGGCGGCGUGCUUAAGACAUGCAAGUCGAACGGCGGCACGGGGGCAACCCUGGUGGCGAGUGGCGAACGGGUGAGUAAUGCAUCGGAACGUAUCCUUGAGUGGGGGAUAACGCAGCGAAAGUUGUGCUAAUACCGCAUAAGCUCUGAGGAGGAAAGCGGGGGACCGAAAGGCCUCGCGCUGAAGGAGCGGCCGAUGUCCGAUUAGCUAGUUGGUGAGGUAAAGGCUUACCAAGGCGACGAUCGGUAGCUGGUCUGAGAGGAUGAUCAGCCACACUGGGACUGAGACACGGCCCAGACUCCUACGGGAGGCAGC